ACCGUACCCUCUCGAAAAUACGCCCACCCUUUUCUGCAAGAAGUCUAGGCUUAUUAGGGGACUGGGCGUUUAAUCGCGAACGGCGAGUUUUCAUUCGAAUAUACGCCCACCCGCGGCCUCAAAUCGAGGUUUAUACUUUGCUCUAUUGUAUUUUCAUUUUAAUACAUAGUAUGAACAUUUCAUUGACAACAACAAUGUUAUAAACUAAUGCAUGAGUAUGAUAAAGCAAGACAAGAGAAUGAACAAGAAGAAGUGAACUCUGACUCUUCGUUGCUUGUCACUUGUGUCGAUGUCAGAUGUACGUAGCAGAAACUUCCCAAAGGAUGAUAGGUCAUACUCCUACAGAGCAGCUAUCAGGUACUUUGUUUCAGAAAACCAAGGCAAGGUAACCUGCAAAAUUGGCCUGUGUGAUAACUUUCUUGGACUUUGUGUUUUCUUUUCUCUGCAUAUAGGACUACUUGUUCCCUGCAUAUACAUCUUCAGGGGCAAACAGAUCCAUACAGAGAAAGUUAUAUGUCUGAUCUUGGUCCAGCAAGGAGUAUAGUCUUACUAGCUACUACCUAAAACUUCCUUUCUUCACUAAAAUUAAUGGUGAACAUGUGGCAUUUAGCUACUGCGCAUGCUCAAACUCUUCAUUCUAGGUGGGCUUAUAAUCGAGUGAAAAUACCCUUGUGCAAGAACUUAGCCUCGAUCCCAGGCCGAGUUUUCGCUUUUAUAACGGUUAGGCGAACAACUGGGCCUGGUACUAGUUGUCUGCGCAUGCGUCAAUCGUUCGUCAGAUUCUGACGAAUGGAUAUUCUCGUUCACUUUCGUGACAUUUAUAUUCGUGUACUAUCGUGUACUAGAAGUCAGUUCCCGUUUUAUCAUUAUUGGAAUCGAUUGGAAUGGCUCUUAGCUGAAGCUUCUCUCUUCUCUGAAGCUUAUUCUGAAGACUGAACAACAAGGGAAGAGGUAUAAAGCUUUGUCAAGCUUGUUAAGGUCAGAUAUUUUUGUGUGGGGCCCUAUGGCCGGCUAUGCUAUCAAGUCUUGUUCAUGUUUGGCAAGAAUGUAGGUAGACUAUAGUUUCAUCAUUAAUAUGGUGGAUCAAGUGAAGAGUGUGAGCUAGAGAACUUGGUGCUGCCAUCAUCAGCUCGUCGACAAUGACACUAUAACCGAGAAAUUUAAUAUGUAUAGAUCUACACGUAUUUAAAAUGUCUACUUCUCUGUACAGGAGCAAUGGCUAAUAUCCAGCUAUCCCAACAGUGCUCCUCUUGGCUAUACUAACGGACGAGACUGGACAGUUUGAGACACAGGACUGGAGUAUGACCUGCUCAUUCGAGCGUUGCUGGGUAGCUCAGAGAUAUCAAGAGAAUCUACGUUUUCUCAAGUAAUGAGUUACGAGUUGGGGCCUAGAAUCAGAGAAGUCCAGCAGCCUGCUAAAUCUUUUUGAAACGUAAUUUGAAGGCAUUCAAUCAUCCUGAAGUUGCCCUGGGUCACUGUAAUUGUGCUGCAGCACAACUGGCAACUCCCCAGGCCUUUGUGAAGCAGCUCCCUAUGUGCAUCUUUUGUGUACUCACUCUGUGCAUUUUCUGUGUACAAAUUUCCAUUAUUGAUUUAUUAAAUAUUUUUGCCGACCACAAA
Molecule: long non-coding RNA, 1620 nt
Organism: Halichondria panicea
Lineage: Eukaryota; Metazoa; Porifera; Demospongiae; Suberitida; Halichondriidae
Exons: 2
Source: RefSeq, a predicted model, not a curated record